GUGGAUCGAGACUAAAGAUCGCAUGUCAAUGAUUAGCUUACGUCAACGCUCAUUAACGGCUAAACGGCCGUUAACGGAACCUACCGCCAGACGUGGCAGCGGUAGCCUGUGUUAUGCUACCGCCAGGGACGGCGACGGUAACCAAAAGGAUCAAAUCUCGAAAUGUUUCCAUAUCGAGAUUAGAUCCUACUAAACUACGUGAAAAGCGUCAAAGCAUGAAAUUUUGCCACCAAAGUGACCUUUCCAAGGCCAAGGCUAGCGAUGCGAUACUCUUUGGCAUUACCUCAGCAGUUACGUCAUGCUCCGCUCGAGACCCGUCCAAGCGGUCCCUUUCCGCCAACGGCCGCAUCUUCUGUCGGCUGGACCUGCAAGAUCUCGUGAGACAACUCGGCCAACCUCACCAUCCGUGCUUCCCCCCUUCCCAUUUCCCUUUCCUUUCCUUUCCUUCGUUCUCUCCCACUCCCACAGUCGAUCGAACCAUGGAGAAGCCGUUUUUGUCCGUGUCGACGCGACGAGACUGCCGCUCCAACACCUGGCCCGCGGCCAGCCUCACGCACGGCGGAGCCCGCCACGUCGCCGGCCUCACAGCACACAGUCAUCCAGGCAUGACAGAAAUAUCGGACUGAGCUACGCGAGUGGCAGCGCCUACCAAGCUCUUUUCCGCCGGUGACCAUUCCAGUAGUCCAUCACAUGGGUCAAGACGAGCGCCAGCAUCCAGAGCUGCCGGACAUGGAGAAGGAGCUCUCUGCCGACGCGGUAGCCUGCGACCACUGCAGCGGCCCACAGGCGGUGGUGUACUGCCGGGCCGACAGCGCCAGGCUCUGCCUGCCGUGCGACCGCCACGUGCACGCCGCCAACGCGGUCUGCUCCCGCCACCUGCGCGCCCCGCUCUGCGCCGCAUGCCGCGCAACCGGGGCCGUCUUCCGCCACGCCGGUCCCGAAUUCCUCUGCUCCAACUGCGACUUCGGGAGGAGCCGGGACGCCGAGCUGCCGCUGCACGACCGCUGCACAGUCCAGGGGUACACGGGACGACCCUCCGCGCACGACCUCGCCGCUCUUCUCGGGGUCCCCGACUUCGACAAGCCCUCGGCCGGCAAAGCCGACGACGGUUGGUGGGCCAUUUGGGAGGAGCCCCAGGUGUUCAGCCUGGAGGAUCUCAUCGUGCCCACCACUUCUAGCCAUGGCUUCCAGCCCCUCGUCACGCCGUCCUCGCCCAAGAUCCACAACUCACCCGAUGGAAAGACCAACGAUGAGGUCAUACGGCAGUUACGUGAGCUCGCCGAGGUCGACAUGGGCGGCGGUCAGAUAACACCUCGUGAGGAGGCAGAGCAAGCUGCUCAUCUGUUGCCUUCCAGGACAGAGUCACAGCACACCACUGGAAAUGGCGAUUUCGGCACAGAUAACAGCCAUGAGGUUGCAACCAUGCCAACCCCUAGUUAUGAGAACGGCGGAUGGAACAAUAACGAUUAUCAUGCCCUAAAUGGUGCCUGCAAGACCGAGCACGAACAAGAGCAGGCUCCAGCAAGCUCAGCUGAAGCAUGCUUGUCAUCGUUUGUUCAGAUGUCAGAACUUUGCCCCAGCAUGAGCAAUGGUAGCAUGAUGGACGAUGGCCAGCAGGCAAAUCCUGGUACUGGCAUGCCAAUGCAAGCUUUCCCCAAAAGAAGUGGCUUUGAUGUUGUUGCUGGCCCUGACCGCGACAUUGUCAUUUCCCGCUAUAAAGAAAAGAGGAGGACAAGAAGAUUCGACAAACAGGUGCGAUAUGAGUCCCGCAAAGCUCGUGCAGACAGCAGGUUGAGGAUCAAGGGGCGUUUUGCAAAGGCAAAACAGAGUUAAGCCUUGACUUUGCAGUAUAUUUUGCAUCUUGGACAGAAGGAAUAACACUAAUUAGGAGUGAGUGCAGAUGAUACAUAAGGCGUGAACAUUUUGUUUGCCUUCAGUUCGGCAGAUGGUAGUUCAUGUACAAUCUGAAUAAUGUAUGUUGCCAACAUAUGGGCUAUAUUAAUGUUUUGAGGGGAGUUGUUCUUAGUCCAACCCUUGUAUAUAGUUUCCAUCUAUGAACUCUGUAAAAGUACUACAGGCAAGUGAGAGUGACAGUAUGCCAUUUUUGCAUGGUUUAGUGAAUUUUGUCUCACCAUUGGGUUUUGUUGAGUAAAUCAUUUUCAUGAGUAGUGUAUAGUAGUUACCAAAUCCUUGGAGCAAUUGCUGAUGGACGUAUUGUAUUUUCACUGAUCUACGGUUUGUCGAAAUUGGAGAAAAAAAUU
This 2261-nucleotide ribosomal RNA is filed under the name Triticum aestivum (bread wheat). RNAcentral's name for it is "partial small subunit ribosomal RNA". Lineage: Eukaryota; Viridiplantae; Streptophyta; Magnoliopsida; Poales; Poaceae. The record is from RNAcentral.